UUUGCUUGGGGCUAAACAGCUUUCAGUUUGGAUUACUUAUUGUUUUUCAAAACGACAAGUAAUAAUUUAAACGGAGAAAUGUAUUCAGUGAACAAUUUAUUCGCGGAAUAGAAAAAUUAAAGGAUAACAUGCAAUGUGAAUUCAAAAUU
Molecule: non-coding RNA, 149 nt
Organism: Caenorhabditis elegans
Lineage: Eukaryota; Metazoa; Nematoda; Chromadorea; Rhabditida; Rhabditidae
Source: Ensembl